AAUUCGAUUAGUUUGAUCAUGGCUCAGGACGAACGCUGGCGGCGUGCUUAACACAUGCAAGUGGAGCGACGAACCCGGGCUUGCCCGGGGGCAGAGCCGCGAACGGGUGAGUAACACGUGGGUCACCUGCCUUGAUGACCGGGACAACCCGAGGAAACUCAGGCUAAUACCGGAUGUGCUCUUCGGAGGAAAGGAAGCUUCGGCCUCCGCAUCGAGAUGGGCCCGCGGCGCAUUAGCUUGUUGGUGGGGUAACGGCCUACCAAGGCGACGAUGCGUAGCUGGUCUGAGAGGACGAUCAGCCACACUGGGACUGAGACACGGCCCAGACUCCUACGGGAGGCAGCAGUGGGGAAUCUUGCGCAAUGCGCGAAAGCGUGACGCAGCAACGCCGCGUGGGGGAAGAAGGCCUUAGGGUUGUAAACCUCUUUCAGUUGGGACGAAGGUUCGCCGGUGAAUAGCCGGCUGGAUUGACGGUACCUUCAGAAGAAGCCCCGGCUAACUACGUGCCAGCAGCCGCGGUAAUACGUAGGGGGCAAGCGUUGUCCGGAAUCAUUGGGCGUAAAGCGCGUGUAGGCGGCCCGAUAAGUCCGCUCUGAAAGUCCAGGGCUCAACCCUGGGAUGCGGGUGGAUACUGUCGGGCUCGAGUCCGGAAGAGGCGAGUGGAAUUCCUGGUGUAGCGGUGAAAUGCGCAGAUAUCAGGAGGAACACCAAUGGCGAA
This 718-nucleotide ribosomal RNA is filed under the name uncultured bacterium. Its description in RNAcentral is "bacterial SSU rRNA". It matches the Rfam family "Bacterial small subunit ribosomal RNA", at positions 1 to 719 of the family's 1533-position model. The record is from RNAcentral.